RNAcentral lists this ribosomal RNA (533 nucleotides) under uncultured eukaryote. RNAcentral describes it as "eukaryotic LSU rRNA". The stretch from base 136 to 287 matches the Rfam family "5.8S ribosomal RNA". The record is from RNAcentral.
ACUAGUGAUUUCCGUAGGUGAACCUGCGGAAGGAUCAUUAACACAAAUCCAAACCUACUCAACGAAGCCCAAAUGCUUGCUCCGGCGAGCUCACAAAACUAAUCCAAGAAGCGUAAACAAGCCAAAACCAAAACAAAUCCUCAACGAUGGAUGUCUAGGUUCCUACAACGAUGAAGAACGCAGCGAAGUGCGAUAAGCAAUGCGAAUUGCAGAUCCGUGAGUCAUCAGAUUUUUGAACGCAACUGGCAGCGCGGGGAAUCCCCUGCGCUAUGCUUCUCUCAGUACGUGAUUCUCUCCUGCCCCAAAUAAUAAUGCGACAGAUACCCUUCUGUUGCUAAGCUCGAAAGCACACUUCCUCUGCAGCGACCAGCUUGCUGGACGCACUCAAUGCAGCAGUCACAUUUUACAAUGUGAACUCAUUGAGAGCAGGCGAAGCGACGCGGUUUCCGCGCCAGUGCUUGGACAAUUAAAUUUUACGCAUCUGAGAUGAAGUAGGACCACCCGCUGAACUUAAGCACAUCAAUACGCGGAGG